GAUCUGGCUCAGGAUGAACGCUGGCGGCGUGCUUAACACAUGCAAGUCGAACGAGGGCGAUAGCAAUAUUGCCCGAGUGGCGGACGGGUGAGUAACGCGUGAACAAUCUGCCUGUAUCAGGGGAAUAACACUAAGAAAUUGGUGCUAAUACCGCAUAAGACCACGGAGAGGCAUCUCCCCGGGGUAAAAAGAAUAAUCGGAUACAGAUGAGUUCGCGUCCCAUUAGGUAGUUGGUGAGGUAACGG
RNAcentral lists this ribosomal RNA (245 nucleotides) under uncultured bacterium. Its description in RNAcentral is "partial 16S ribosomal RNA". It matches the Rfam family "Bacterial small subunit ribosomal RNA", at positions 15 to 263 of the family's 1533-position model. The record is from RNAcentral.